RNAcentral lists this ribosomal RNA (1148 nucleotides) under Bacillus anthracis (anthrax bacterium). Its description in RNAcentral is "bacterial LSU rRNA". It matches the Rfam family "Bacterial large subunit ribosomal RNA", at positions 1778 to 2925 of the family's 2925-position model. Lineage: Bacteria; Bacillati; Bacillota; Bacilli; Caryophanales; Bacillaceae. The record is from RNAcentral.
CGCAGUGAAUAGGCCCAAGCGACUGUUUAGCAAAAACACAGCUCUCUGCGAAGCCGUAAGGCGAAGUAUAGGGGGUGACACCUGCCCGGUGCUGGAAGGUUAAGGAGAGGGGUUAGCGUAAGCGAAGCUCUGAACUGAAGCCCCAGUAAACGGCGGCCGUAACUAUAACGGUCCUAAGGUAGCGAAAUUCCUUGUCGGGUAAGUUCCGACCCGCACGAAAGGUGUAACGAUUUGGGCACUGUCUCAACCAGAGACUCGGUGAAAUUAUAGUACCUGUGAAGAUGCAGGUUACCCGCGACAGGACGGAAAGACCCCGUGGAGCUUUACUGUAGCCUGAUAUUGAAUUUUGGUACAGUUUGUACAGGAUAGGCGGGAGCCUUUGAAACCGGAGCGCUAGCUUCGGUGGAGGCGCUGGUGGGAUACCGCCCUGACUGUAUUGAAAUUCUAACCUACGGGUCUUAUCGACCCGGGAGACAGUGUCAGGUGGGCAGUUUGACUGGGGCGGUCGCCUCCUAAAGUGUAACGGAGGCGCCCAAAGGUUCCCUCAGAAUGGUUGGAAAUCAUUCGUAGAGUGCAAAGGCAUAAGGGAGCUUGACUGCGAGACCUACAAGUCGAGCAGGGACGAAAGUCGGGCUUAGUGAUCCGGUGGUUCCGCAUGGAAGGGCCAUCGCUCAACGGAUAAAAGCUACCCCGGGGAUAACAGGCUUAUCUCCCCCAAGAGUCCACAUCGACGGGGAGGUUUGGCACCUCGAUGUCGGCUCAUCGCAUCCUGGGGCUGUAGUCGGUCCCAAGGGUUGGGCUGUUCGCCCAUUAAAGCGGUACGCGAGCUGGGUUCAGAACGUCGUGAGACAGUUCGGUCCCUAUCCGUCGUGGGCGUAGGAAAUUUGAGAGGAGCUGUCCUUAGUACGAGAGGACCGGGAUGGACGCACCGCUGGUGUACCAGUUGUUCUGCCAAGGGCAUAGCUGGGUAGCUAUGUGCGGAAGGGAUAAGUGCUGAAAGCAUCUAAGCAUGAAGCCCCCCUCAAGAUGAGAUUUCCCAUAGCGUAAGCUAGUAAGAUCCCUGAAAGAUGAUCAGGUUGAUAGGUUCGAGGUGGAAGCAUGGUGACAUGUGGAGCUGACGAAUACUAAUAGAUCGAGGACUUAACCAU